RNAcentral lists this unclassified non-coding RNA (229 nucleotides) under plant metagenome. Its description in RNAcentral is "partial contains small subunit ribosomal RNA, internal transcribed spacer 1, and 5.8S ribosomal RNA". The record is from RNAcentral.
UCUCCGUAGGUGAACCUGCGGAGGGAUCAUUACAGAGUUCAUGCCCUAUCGGGUCGAUCUCCCACCCUAUGUUAUUAUUACUUUGUUGCUUUGGCGGGCCGUUAGGCUCCGGCCCGACUACCGGCCCCGGCUGGUAAGCGCCCGCCAGAGGACCCAAAACCCUGAAUAUUAGUGUCGUCUGAGUACUAUAUAAUAGUUAAAACCUUCAACAACGGAUCUCUUGGUUCUG